UUUCUUUUCUAGUGCAGGUUCUCUACACGCAUCAGGAAUGCGGUUAGGUGUUGGCUCGAUGUUCCGGAGCUAGACUUGGAUGCGUGGGCUGAGGUCACAACAGUCAAGCUUUGGUAGGAGAGGACGGUCCUCGGUCGUGGCCACAGGACCAAGGCGAUGUCUUCGCUUCUGAUGCUCGUUUCGUGGGAGUUGUGGAAUGAGAGAAAUGCAAGGGUGUUCCAGAAGAAAGCUUCGAUGCCGACCGUUGUGGUCGGCCGAAUAAAGACGGAGUUGAGAAUUUGGGUUUUGGCUGGGGCCAAACACUUGGGAUCCUUGAUGCCGCAAGAGUAG
Molecule: ribosomal RNA, 330 nt
Filed under: Triticum aestivum (bread wheat)
Lineage: Eukaryota; Viridiplantae; Streptophyta; Magnoliopsida; Poales; Poaceae
Description: partial small subunit ribosomal RNA
Source: RNAcentral